GCAGUGGAACAUCUACACGCAACAGAAAUAAGGCGGGCGACGGCAGCCUUCCUUUCAGAGACACAAGCGCACGAGCCCCCAAGGAAACCCCCAGAAGGCAGAGACGCACGCCAGGGAAGGACUUUGCCUGCAAGUCCCUGCCAAGUGCCAUCCAAGAGCUCGCACGCGUCGGGAGGGCUGGUGAGCGAGGGGGAAGAGUUUAGAAAGCCUCAUGUGACGCUCAAUGCCAAGUUCAUACAAAUGCGUGGCCCUGUUCUUGCUGUGAGAAGAUGUGGACCCACAUGUCAUAAAAUAGGACGUGUAUCUGGGAAUGAAAGCCCUUCACAGCUAAAGGAAGGGCGGAUAUAUUGCUCACUUAUCCUAGAACGGCUGAUACUGGGUACUAUCUGAUGAUGAUUCAACCCUCGAAUGACUUCAGCGGAGACCCCGGUCCUAGAACUUGAAAAAAUAAAGGCUGGAACAAAAGCGAUUCCGGAGGCGAUUCAUGACUCCGACUCCCCAGGAAACACCCCCACACACGAUCCGUGCUGCAGCUGCCAGGCCACGUUCUUGACAUCAGAUGUGUGCUCAAGAUACAGUCUAGAAGCCAUGGGUCAGACCAGGUAUGGGCCAGUGAGAAAAGCAGCAACAGCACGGGAGAAAAAGCUCCCCUCCCACCCAAAAGUUGGAAUCAGGGACACAAAAAUCCCUUAGAAUGUGUCAUUUUCAAAGCACAUUCGGGGCCCCUAGGUGGCUCAGUCAGUUGGGUGUCCGACUUUGGCCCAGGUCAUGAUCUCACAGUCCGUGGGUUCGAGCCCCA
This is a long non-coding RNA of Felis catus (domestic cat), 799 nucleotides long. RefSeq lists it as uncharacterized. The transcript has 3 exons. NCBI's taxonomy places the organism in Eukaryota, Metazoa, Chordata, Mammalia, Carnivora, Felidae. The record is from RefSeq and is a predicted model, not a curated record.